UACGGGGGGGGCAAGCGUUGUUCGGAAUUACUGGGCGUAAAGGGCUCGUAGGCGGCCAACUAAGUCAGACGUGAAAUCCCUCGGCUUAACCGGGGAACUGCGUCUGAUACUGGAUGGCUUGAGGUUGGGAGAGGGAUGCGGAAUUCCAGGUGUAGCGGUGAAAUGCGUAGAUAUCUGGAGGAACACCGGUGGCGAAGGCGGGUCUCUGGGCAGUAACUGACGCUGAGGAGCGAAAGCGUGGGGAGCGAACAGG
Molecule: ribosomal RNA, 253 nt
Filed under: uncultured bacterium
Lineage: Bacteria
Description: partial 16S ribosomal RNA
Rfam family: Bacterial small subunit ribosomal RNA
Source: RNAcentral